UGUGGUUGGAGGUCUUCAACGCAAAGAGUAGAGGUGGUUCGGGGGAUGAGGGAUCAGCGCUUGGUGAACCUUGCACUACUCGAUAAGUGGUGUGGAAGGAUUGUUUAUAGAGGCUCGGGUUUAUGAAGGGAUAUUCUUAAUGCUUGGUAUGAGAACCAUAUGUUCGUCUGUGUCUGUGGUGGUGGGGGUUCCGGUCAGUUUCUUCUUGGUGGAAAUGGAUCUUGCUGCUUUGGUUUCGUCCAAAUCUUGUUGGUGGUUGGCUCUCAAAGGGAGUGACUAGGGUGAUAUGUAAUGGGUUUUCUAUAUUCUUUUAGAGUGUUUCGUGGAUGGGUGAGGUUUCCUUGAGAGUCUGUUUUUCGCACCCUUUUCCAGUUUUUUGGUUAGGAAUAUGGGAAAUUGGGUAGAGGAUGAGCUGGGGUAGAACUUAAGUUGGAGUAGAAGUUUGUUUGUUUGUUUGGGAGUAGGAGUUUGAUGACAACUUGGUCUCGGUUUUGGUGGGCAUUACGCUUUGGCAACAUGAGGAGUAUUUUUUAUCGUGGAAGCAUGACUUAAGUGAGGUUUAAACAAUUUAUUUAGCCUACUCAGCUCUUUAUGUAGAGGGAACUCGUCCAUAAGAGAAGGUCCAACUUUUAGCAAAAGUUUGGAAAAGUUAGGCACCCUCAAAGGUUUUCACCUGGAGUUGCUUCACGAUACGGUUCUACCCAUCAAAAUAUUUUCAGGCAUUGAGUUAUUGUUGAUCUUAGUGAUGCGUCAUGUGUGUUUUGAGAGAGGUGACAAUAGAGUCUUCUAACCGUAUGUUUGUCACUUGUGAUUUCUCUUCGAGGGUGUGGUAUCAAGUUUUAGGUGGUUUGGGUGAGUGUUGGUGUUGCCUCGAGAUUUAUUCCAAAUCUUUUUGCCAUUAUUUUAUCUCUAGGAGUUGGGUCUAAAAUCAGACUAGGUUUGACUUGGUCUAGCUUUCGGUUUUGUGGAGCAACCACAAGUCUUCUACCUUUGAUUUAUGCAACCACAAAUCUUCUAUCUGAGCCUCUUUUUAUAGUCUUGGUA
Molecule: long non-coding RNA, 1044 nt
Filed under: Medicago truncatula (barrel medic)
Lineage: Eukaryota; Viridiplantae; Streptophyta; Magnoliopsida; Fabales; Fabaceae
Description: lncRNA gene49358
Source: RNAcentral